GAUGAACGCUGGCGGCGUGCCUAAUACAUGCAAGUCGAGCGAACGGACGAGAAGCUUGCUUCUCUGAUGUUAGCGGCGGACGGGUGAGUAACACGUGGAUAACCUACCUAUAAGACUGGGAUAACUUCGGGAAACCGGAGCUAAUACCGGAUGAUAUUUUGAACCGCAUGGUUCAAAAGUGAAAGACGGUCUUGCUGUCACUUAUAGAUGGAUCCGCGCUGCAUUAGCUAGUUGGUAAGGUAAUGGCUUACCAAGGCAACGAUGCAUAGCCGACCUGAGAGGGACGUCGCCCACACUGGAACUGAGACUCGGUCCCGACUCCUACGGGAGGCAGCAGUAGAGAAUCUUCCGCGAUGGACGAGAGCCUAACGGAGCAACGCCGCGUGAGUGAUGAACGUCUUCGGAUCGUAGAGCUCUGUUAUUAGGAAAGAUCAUAUGUGUAAGUAACUGUGCACAUCUUGACGGUACCUAAUCAGAAAGCCACGGCUAACUACGUG
Molecule: ribosomal RNA, 497 nt
Filed under: uncultured bacterium
Lineage: Bacteria
Description: partial 16S ribosomal RNA
Rfam family: Bacterial small subunit ribosomal RNA
Source: RNAcentral